This is an RNA transcript of Alosa sapidissima (American shad), 2979 nucleotides long. RefSeq lists it as uncharacterized. Lineage: Eukaryota; Metazoa; Chordata; Actinopteri; Clupeiformes; Clupeidae. The record is from RefSeq and is a predicted model, not a curated record. The transcript has 14 exons.
AGAAACAAAACAGCACGACAGGAUUCCGGAAAAAAAAGAAAAUAUAUAUAUAUAUAUAGGCUAUACAUUUUUAAAAAGUCAGUUGAAAGAUGCAUUGCAGGUGCAGAGAGCCAUGCACUCUAAAAAAUGUGGGGUUUACAUUUGAACUGCAAAGAGGAAAACUUUGAGAUCACGGAAUUUAAUCCACUUCCGGUAACAAGUUCGCAAUGUGUUCGCUGUAUGCGCUUCUGCCAAAUCACUUUUUAUCAAACAAGGAUUUUGUAAGGGGCUAACGUUAAUGUUACUUCACAUGUAACCACGGUGGUUUGAGUGCUGAUAGGCCUAUCUGUUCAGUCUAGAUUACAUGCAACGUAUCUCCAGGAUUUGCAAUGAAAGAGCGAUACUAGGGUAUGAGGCAUGCGGUCCGAGUUCAGAAUCCUUCUCUGUGGGGGCACCGGGGUUGGAAAGAGUGCGGUGGGCAACACCAUUCUGGGCAGCAAGCAGUUUGUUUCUGGAACCAGACCUCAUCCAGUCACGCAAACGUGUGAAACGCGAACCACUGCAAUCCGCGGAAAGAAAAUCAUUGUUAUUGAUACACCAAGUACGGAGGAGCCUGAGCUGAGAGCUGAAUUUCAGCGUUGCCUCAGUUCGUCCGAGGCACUACCCGUAAUCUUUCUUCUUGUCACUCCACUGGGGUUUCAUGGAGGCAAAGCCUUGAGAGUUCUGGAUACUCUACAAACAAUCUUCCCAGAGCGCGAGGUUGAUCAGUUCACCGUCGUGUUGUUUACAGGUGGAGAUAGGCUCGAAGAGCUUGGUCAAAUACAUAAAGAGAGUGAGGGGGACAGCAAAAUACAAAAACUUUUAACUCGCUGUGGCAAUAGGCAGCACACAUUCAAUAAUGAAGUCGACGACCAGGCGCAGGUACUGCAGCUCGUCGCCAAAAUCAACAGGUUGCUGCAUCAGAGCAUAAAUUGCCCUUCAAAUAAAGAGGCCAACAACACGAAGGCAAAGAAAAGGAGUGUGGAAGAAGCAGAAGAAGAGGAGAAUGACAUCUGGAACUGGCCAAACUACAAGACAGAGCUUCCUGUUGAGUGUGGGACUAUGAAGGGUGUGCUUCACAGGGAAAAGAUGGCUAAAGGAGAAAAGUGCAUUGAAGUCGAUGGCAGCUGGUUUACUCCGACAAAAUUUGAGGUAUUUGCAGGGAAGGGUUCUUGCAAGAAGUGGAAGCAGACUAUCCGUUGCCAAAAUAUCCCACUGGCAGAACUCAUUCAGGAUGGCCAUUUGACGUGCCCCACUUUCACAAAAAAAGGGCUCAAUGGAGAUCAGGAUGAAUUUCCCAUGUGGGCCCCUGAUGGCUCCCUAAUCGAAACCGGGGAUUUAAAGCUCAUACUCACAGGAGUGGAAGGAGAACUCCCAGUCGGAAUCCUGGCAGAGAGACUGCUGGGUAAGGAUGUCCUCAUGGACGACGUCCAGGACACCCUCCAAGACAGUGCGCUGACAGUAACAUGUAAAAAGGUAGAGAGGACUUCUCAGAAGAAUCACUCACCUCCUUCAGAGUCCCACAGAAAUCCGAAAGUGGAGGCCAAAAAGGAGAACGGAAGUCACAGAAAAAAAGUGUCUCCACUGAAGGAGGAUGCGUCAAAUAAAAAUGGCACUAAGGACAACUUCGAUGCUUCCGUCUUUCAGGAGAAUUCAUUGCCUGUCACUUGUCGAAAUGCGAAAGGAGUUCUUCAGAAGGAUCGGUUUUCCUCAGGGAAAACUGGCAAAUGCAUCAGGACAUCAGGUUGCUGGAUGACCCCUGAGGAGUUUGUACAAGAGGGAGCUGGCCUCAAGAGCGGCAAGUGGAGACGGGACAUUCACUGCCAUGGCCAACCUCUCGGCACCCUUAUUGAGAAAAUGAUUCUACAACUUCAUUCUCUGUUUUGUGAGUGUGAUGUGUGCAAGUCUGAAGACCCAUCCGACCAGAACAACGAUGACCUCUGCUUCAUCUGCUGCCAAGACACUGAGUUGGUAUGCUGCGAUGGCUGUCCGCGGUCGUUCCACCACGCAUGUCACCUACCCUCACUGGAUCAGAACCUUGGAGACCGGUGGAUGUGCACCUUCUGCAUAGUGGAGAAGGCCAAAGAGUUCUGCCAUCGCACAAAGACUCUGGAGGAGGCCCUAGACGGCAGCAUCUUACCCAACAUGCUGGUGACACUGCCAAUAUCUACUUCUGUAUCUGUUGAAAGAAGACAAGGAGCUCAUCUUCAUGCAGGACCCUUGUCUCACUUUUGACAACUAUGCUGCUGUCAUCAGCAAGCCCAUGUGGAUAGACAAGAUUAUCAAGAAGCUUCGGGGAGAGUACAGCAAAGUGGGAGAGUUUGUUGCUGAUGUGCGGCUCAUCUUUAAGAACUGCACAACGUUCAAUAAGAACAAUGAGUAUGGGAAAAUGGGAGCCAGACUGAAGGAUCUAUUUGAAAAGAAGUUCAAAUGGGUCUUCAGCAUUAAAUAGCUGCAUUCUUUACUGAGUAUGUCGCAGGAUCACUCCACUCACUGGGACAAGAGUGGCGCAAAGGUGGUUACCGUGGGCACCAGUUUCCACCUUGUGAUAAUCUGCAUAACUGUGCAGGAUGUUUUGCUACAUGGGACAUUUGCUGCUCCGCUGUAGCUAUGAGACACAGAGUGUUUUGGUGUAAAGCAUGAAGCUCUUGGCAGUGCAUCUCUGAUGCCAAAUUGAUUGCGAGUCUUGAUUUGGACUAUGGAUAUCCCAGUAGAAAUGUUUUGUCUGUCAGUGUUAAUCAUGAUUUUAAAUGGUUAGUGUCAUUAACUUGGUGGCUUACAUCUUGGAAUUCACAGAAAGAUCCUAUUUUAGCUGUGGCUGACUUUUGGUAGAAAGGUAGGCCUAUAUUCUUGCAGGAUGCAAUAAUUUAUCUAUCAAGUCAUCUAAGUAAGUUUAUGCAUGGUCUCUAAAGAAAUCCAAAGUUGAAACUGGAAAAUAAACUGUCUACAUUCAGGGAGAUA